Molecule: long non-coding RNA, 1218 nt
Filed under: Sus scrofa (pig)
Lineage: Eukaryota; Metazoa; Chordata; Mammalia; Artiodactyla; Suidae
Description: lncRNA (ENSSSCG00060007601.1)
Source: RNAcentral
CGUGUGUUCACCAGUGAGCACAACUGCCAUCCAGCAGCCGUGAGAGCAGAGCUGAGAACUUCCUGCCCUCUAGGGAGAAGGGGAAGCUGCCUUGUGUUAAAGGCCAGCCAGCAAGCCACAGGCAGGAAAUGCUGACUGUGUUCUCAGAGUUUGCAAAAGGCCCAACAGGAGGGCCACCUCGGAAAAAGAAGCAUAUACUGCAGAUGAAAGGGGAAAGAUGUCAACUUGACGGAAGGAAGAUGAUCUGUGAUCCAGGAUUCAAGAGGCUUGGUGGUCGCUAUGACGACAGCAGUGAGUGCUUGCUGGGUACCUCGAUCCUGAUCCCAAGAGCUUUUCUGCUGCCUUUUAAAAACAUGUACGAAAGGAGACUCCAAUCAUUUCAUCCCCUUCUCGCUCAGUCCUUUCAGAAGCAGAGAAGGGAGCAGGUAGGCAGAAACCCAGAGAGGGCCUGUCUCUGCCUUGGGUUUUCUCCGUGCUGGGAACUUCUGUGCUCAAACCCUGGGUCCCAGAGCCUGCGAGGGACGAUAUGCUGCCCGACAAGCAUGUUCCUCUGGGGUUAACUCAGCCUUUGCAGCGACUCGGGACAUUUACCGUGGGCUGGAGGCCUUCGUGUAAAGCACCUUGUCACUUUUAUUGCUUCUCUUCGAAGAAAUAUUUGCACGAUUUUGAUUUUAUUAAUAGAUAUAUGUUUCUCGUAGCAAGAAAGGAUUCUUUGCAGACAGGAAUAUAUUUGGGUUUUCUCACAACCUUUCAAAGUAUCAGCCUCGGGUUUGGAAUUCACUCUCCCUAUCAGGAGAUGGGGGUUGAAAGAAUUUCUCAGACGUGACCCGUGAAGAGGAACAGGCCAGCUGAGGAGGCUGCUUUUAGCAGCACCCGUCGUGCAGACCUCCUGGUCCGGCCAGAGCAGAAAGGGCACAUUCUCACCUUCUCCCUACCGUGCCCCCUUCCAAAGAAGCCCGCGGUGCCCACAGUCACUGAGAGUCAGGAAGAAUCAGAAAAGACGGCAGCUGAGAAAUCUCCUAAAUUGAUGAAAAAAGAUAAGGCCAAUCAAAAGGAAUCAAAAAGCCGAGUCUAUCACAGUUAAAUUAGACUUUUAAAUAUGCUAUUGAGAUCAGAGGGGUUUGCGUGCAAUUGUCUCCUUAACUUUGGCAGGGAAAUCAUUAAUCAUUUGAUGUUAAAUUUAGGCAGAUUGUUGAAUAAAUGAGCACACUAGGCCCA